This 540-nucleotide ribosomal RNA is filed under the name uncultured bacterium. RNAcentral's name for it is "bacterial SSU rRNA". It matches the Rfam family "Bacterial small subunit ribosomal RNA", at positions 355 to 913 of the family's 1533-position model. The record is from RNAcentral.
UGGGGAAUAUUGCACAAUGGGCGCAAGCCUGAUGCAGCAAUGCCGCGUGAGUGAAGACGGCCUUAGGGUUGUAAAACUCUUUCGCUAGGGAAGAUAAUGACGGUACCUAGUAAAGAAGCCCCGGCUAACUCCGUGCCAGCAGCCGCGGUAAUACGGAGGGGGCUAGCGUUGUUCGGAAUUACUGGGCGUAAAGCGCGCGUAGGCGGACUGAUCAGUCAGGGGUGAAAUCCCGGGGCUCAACCCCGGAACUGCCUUUGAUACUGUCAGUCUUGAGUCCGGAAGAGGCGAGUGGAAUACCGAGUGUAGAGGUGAAAUUCGUAGAUAUCAGGAGGAACACCGGUGGCGAAGGCGGCUACCUGGACCGGUUCUGACGCUGAGGCGCGAAAGCGUGGGGAGCAAAACAGGAUUAGAUACCCUGGUAGUCCACGCUGUAAACGAUGGGUGCUAGAUGUUGGGAUUUUCGGAUUUCAGUGUCGCAGCUAACGCAUUAAGCACUCCGCCUGGGAGUACGGCCGCAAGGUUAAAACUCAAAGGAAUUGA